RNAcentral lists this transfer RNA (73 nucleotides) under Canis lupus familiaris (dog). It matches the Rfam family "tRNA". From Rfam's summary of the family: Transfer RNA (tRNA) molecules are approximately 80 nucleotides in length. The record is from Rfam by way of RNAcentral. Lineage: Eukaryota; Metazoa; Chordata; Mammalia; Carnivora; Canidae. RNAcentral also lists the same sequence under 2 other names.
GCCUGGCUGGCUCAGUCGGUGGAGCAUGUGACUCUUGAUCUCUGGGUUGUGAGUUUGAGCCUCACUUUGGGUG